This 322-nucleotide ribosomal RNA is filed under the name uncultured fungus. RNAcentral describes it as "eukaryotic LSU rRNA". The stretch from base 30 to 182 matches the Rfam family "5.8S ribosomal RNA". Lineage: Eukaryota; Fungi. The record is from RNAcentral.
GUCUUAUCAACAAACAUUUAAAAGCAAAAAACUUUCAACAACGGAUCUCUUGGUUCUGGCAUCGAUGAAGAACGCAGCGAAAUGCGAUAAGUAAUGCGAAUUGCAGAAUCCGUGAGUCAUCGAAUUUUUGAACGCAUAUUGCGCCCUUUGGCAUUCCGAAGGGCAUGCCUGUUCGAGCGUCAUUAUCACCUCUCAAGCCUGGCUUGUAGUUGGAUCUUAGCUCUGGCUUUGAUGCCCUUGCUGGUCCCAAAGAUAAUGACGGCGUCUGUGAAUGACCCCCAGUACACUGAGCUCUCGUAGCACGUACUUGGUUGGAGUUCCG